RNAcentral lists this long non-coding RNA (392 nucleotides) under Brassica napus (rape). RNAcentral describes it as "long non-coding RNA (BNAP_LNC015657)". Lineage: Eukaryota; Viridiplantae; Streptophyta; Magnoliopsida; Brassicales; Brassicaceae. The record is from RNAcentral.
CGAGAUACUUGUUUGAAAAUCCUUGCAUCCUGUGAUCGAUACUCCCAAGGUAAAGCCUGCACUUUUAUUUAUGCUAAGAAAUGAGGUUGGUAGAGGGGAAUGUCAUACAGGAUUUGCUAAGGUAGGAUAUAGUAUAAUGUGCUUUUGUGAUUAGGAUUUCUUAGAUGUGAAUUGCAAUUUGUAAAUGUGAUGAUUCUAAGUUUUGAAUCAUGUGAGUCCCUGCCGUUUUCAAACCUUUUUCAGAGAGACUGCCCGUCUGUUUUGCUUGAGGACAAGCAAAAGGGUAAGCCUAGGGGAGUUGAUAGACCAUGGUUUUACCCACUUUUAGCCAUGGUCUAUAAGUGUUUUAAAAUAUAUUUACUACUAUAUAGAGUCUAUUUAGAGUAUUUACA